Molecule: unclassified non-coding RNA, 406 nt
Filed under: soil metagenome
Description: partial contains 5.8S ribosomal RNA, internal transcribed spacer 2, and large subunit ribosomal RNA
Rfam family: 5.8S ribosomal RNA (bases 1-121)
Source: RNAcentral
GAUGAAGAACGUAGCGAAAUGCGAUAAGUAAUGUGAAUUGCAGAAUUCAGUGAAUCAUCGAAUCUUUGAACGCACCUUGCGCCCUUUGGCCAUUCCGAAGGGCAUGCCUGUUUGAGUAUCCUGAACACCUCAACUCUUCAUGGUUUUCCAUGAUGAGCUUGGACUUUGGGGGUCUUGCUGGCCUGUGGGUCGGCUCCUCUCAAAUGAAUCAGCUUGCCGGUUUUUGGUGGGCAUCACAGGUGUGAUAACUAUCUACGCUUGUGGUUUUCCACCAGGGUAACCUUCAGCAGUGGAGGUUCACUGGAGCUUACAAAUGUCUCUCCUCUGUGAGGACAGCCCUUUGAAUGUUUGAUCUCAAAUCAGGUAGGACUACCCGCUGAACUUAAGCAUAUCAAUAAGCGGAGGA